This 443-nucleotide ribosomal RNA is filed under the name uncultured bacterium. RNAcentral describes it as "partial 16S ribosomal RNA". It matches the Rfam family "Bacterial small subunit ribosomal RNA", at positions 28 to 507 of the family's 1533-position model. The record is from RNAcentral.
GAUGAACGCUGGCGGCAUGCCUAACACAUGCAAGUCGAUCGGUAAGGCUCUUCGGAGUACACGAGAGGCGGACGGCUGAGUAACGCGUAGGAACACACCCUGCAGUGAGGGAUAAGACACCGAAAGGUGUUCUAAUACCGCAUACGGUCUUCGGAUUAAAGCAUUUAUGCGCUGAAGGAGUGGCCUGCGUCAUAUUAGAUAGAUGGUGAGGUAAUGGCUCACCAAGUCGAUGAUGUGUAGCUGGUCUGAGAGGAUGAUCAGCCAGACUGGAACUGAGACACGGUCCAGACUCCUACGGGAAGCAGCAGUGAGGAAUAUUUCACAAUGAGCGAAAGCUUGAUGGAGCAAUGCCGCGUGCAGGAUGAAGGCCCUCGGGUUGUAAACUGCUUUUAUAAGAGAAGAUUAUGACGGUAACUUAUGAAUAAGGGACGGCUAACUACGUG